Molecule: ribosomal RNA, 532 nt
Filed under: Aspergillus fumigatus
Lineage: Eukaryota; Fungi; Ascomycota; Eurotiomycetes; Eurotiales; Aspergillaceae
Description: SSU rRNA
Rfam family: Eukaryotic small subunit ribosomal RNA
Source: RNAcentral
AGAAACGGCUACCACAUCCAAGGAAGGCAGCAGGCGCGCAAAUUACCCAAUCCCGACACGGGGAGGUAGUGACAAUAAAUACUGAUACGGGGCUCUUUUGGGUCUCGUAAUUGGAAUGAGUACAAUCUAAAUCCCUUAACGAGGAACAAUUGGAGGGCAAGUCUGGUGCCAGCAGCCGCGGUAAUUCCAGCUCCAAUAGCGUAUAUUAAAGUUGUUGCAGUUAAAAAGCUCGUAGUUGAACCUUGGGUCUGGCUGGCCGGUCCGCCUCACCGCGAGUACUGGUCCGGCUGGACCUUUCCUUCUGGGGAAUCUCAUGGCCUUCACUGGCUGUGGGGGGAACCAGGACUUUUACUGUGAAAAAAUUAGAGUGUUCAAAGCAGGCCUUUGCUCGAAUACAUUAGCAUGGAAUAAUAGAAUAGGACGUGCGGUUCUAUUUUGUUGGUUUCUAGGACCGCCGUAAUGAUUAAUAGGGAUAGUCGGGGGCGUCAGUAUUCAGCUGUCAGAGGUGAAAUUCUUGGAUUUGCUGAAGACU